ACCACAGCACAUGCACAACCGGAUGCACUACCCAAUAUGAUGCAUGGAUGCUCAACCCCUAUUGAUGCACUUAACCCAUCCUGCAUCGGUAAACAAGUGCCACCUCAUCACAAAGUGACACUUCUGCAGAACUGCUCAGAACUGGAAACUAGUGUCUCCAUUGGAUUCCUUGGGUUCUCCUACCCCAAAUCCAUAUAUUACACUGCUAUAUAUGCAUGAAGAAAAACACCACAAACAGCAAAGGGAAAACUACACAGGAUCAAACUCCGAUAUUAACAAGAACAGGGGCUCUUCUUAUAUGCCAAAUUUAGCAUAUUCCUCUUCUAGAAUAUUCCAGAUUUGGAAAUACCUCAUAAAUACUACAGAAAACAAUAUACAUAUCAUCGUCAGGGGGUCCCACUGGCCAUGCACACCAGGGCCCCUAGUUGGUGUAUGACAGUGGGCCUAGUCCGCACAACACACACACAAAAUAAAAUUAAAAAAAUGUGCAGGUUGGGGAUCAAACCCUGCACCUCUCCUACAGACACGCACACACAAAGCCACUUGGCUAGCCCAUGCUAGUUGAACUAGCAGAGGCAUCAGGCAAGGAAGCUAUGAGUGGAACCAAGUUAACACACCAGAAAACACAAAAGGGCACACCGGGGACUCGAACCCAGGACCUCACGGUUGCAAUACAACAGGCUAACCAGUUCGCUACACAAUAACUAUGCUAACAGAAGCAGUGUUGCACUACGUGAAGCACCCUUGCAGCGACUCUGACGAAAAAGCUGGCAAAACAAAUAUGGUGCUACUGUGAUUCGAACCCCAGAUCUGUGGGAUGGAACCGGUUGACACAAGCCAGUUGACCUAUGCAUGCUCGAGUGAUAUAUUGCAGGGUUUGUGCCAGAUGGACCAUACCGUGGGGCGAGUCUGACGAAACUGAAUCACGAAACAGAGAUAUCUCUGUUGCCAGGACGGGAUCCUCGCUGCGACGGCUAGCUGGGGCUGCGGUCUGGAGGUGCGGGAACAGAGAGGUUCGAGGCCGAUGCUUGGGGAUGGGGCACCAGGUCGCAGAUCCGUCCGCAGGGCAACGGAUUGAGACGGAGUUGGGGCGGGAUCCAUGGCAGGGUGCUCUAUCAACGCCAUGAGUGCACCUGCCGCUUCUGCUCUCCCUGGUCUCUACAGAAAAGAGACAUAACUACAGAUAUAAGAUGGAGCAGAGGGAAAACGGAGGGAGGAGAAGAGAGGGCAAGGGAGAGGUGCUUCCAAGACCUGCUACUCCUGUCAUAGCCGACGAGGGCGGCUUCGGGCGGUCGAGCGCGUCAGGGGCAGAGGGGCACCGCGGUUGAGCUCUUGCUGGAGUACAAGGAGCUCGAGCAGCUGAUUUGGACCAUGGGCGCGAGGGGAGCUGCAGACGGGCUGGAUCUGGAAACCGAGGAAGGAGGAGAAAGGGAGCAGGGAGAGGGCCGGCCUGGUCGGGAAGCAUGGGGAGAGGCUCCAUGGAACACCAGUGUUGGGGCUGCAAGGCUGGUCGGGAGGGGGAGCUCGAGGACGNNNNNNNNNNNNNNNNNNNNNNNNNNNNNNNNNNNNNNNNNNAGGGGGAGCUUGAGGACGAGGUGCGGCUGUGGGAGGCUCGACGGGGAUUGGCACGGGGUGAUUUGGAUCGUAGGUGUGGGUGCCUAGUUGAUUCGGUGGGGAAAACAAGAAAGACAGUGGCGGCGGCGGCUGAUAGAUGGAUGGGACAGACGGAGGGGAAUCCCUAGAAUUUAGGGUUGGGUUUAAAUUAGGCACGGGAGGGCUCUCUAUUCAUAGGAAACAUGCUAGGUUAGCUAUUUGCUCCGUUUUCGGGCCGUUGGAUAGUGUUUCGACGGCUCCGAUCGAAGCGGGUUGGCUUGGUGGGUUGGUUGGGCCGUGUAGAGUGGGUGUUGGGCUAAGACGAGAAGGAAAUGGUGCGACCCGGCAACAAUAUUUUAAAAUCGAGAAACGUUCGACGACAACCGAAUACGGUGCCGCUACGGUCGACCUUUCGGGUACCAUACAGACUCGGAUUGCGACGAAAUUGACAGGCGGCCUACCUAUAUCUAAAUAAGACCGCACGUCAAAUCUCAACCCAAUCAGAGAAAGUUUUACGCACACUUUUAAAAACAAGGAUUUGACGAAGCCGUGGGCGCGUGCGUGUGUGAACAGGCUCAGAACGAACAAGGACGAGAACCGUCAACUAACAACGGAUGCAAGUUUGAAAACUGGCGGCAACGGGUUGCUGAUGCAAUGUUGAUGAUGCGCAUGAUGCGAUGAUGAUGCGACAAAAGAAAAAUAGACACAUGACGAAAACGGAAGAGAAGGGGAAUCUUCUGGAACGUCGGCAUCGGGCUGUCACAACUCUCCUACACUACAAGAGGAUCUCGCCCCGAGAUCCAAGAAUGAAAGGGAGAAAGGAUGAGAAGGAACAAGUGGUAAAAGCUUAGUCGCUUCUUUGACAAACGAGUGAAACCAACGAUCCUUGAAGGUUGCAAAGAGAUGAGGAAUGAUAUGAGAAACAAGCAAGAAUUCACGGAAAAUUUCGGCAGCACUUCGGUAGGAAAAUGGGACAAAAAAUUCGAUAAGAAGAGAGAAUUACACAAUAUUCGUAACAAACAACUAAAUAGAGCAAGGGACACCAUGAUCUUGAUAGAACAACAAGAUUGACCCAAAGGAGCAACAUCACAAUGCCUCCAGAACAAUAGAAUAGGAACUAGUUCAUACGGAAGAAGAGAAUGAAGAGAGAAUGCCAACUAUCAUCACAAUAGAAUUGAAGAUCCUCCGGAUAGAGAAUUGACAGAGUAGUUGGAAACCAACAACGAAAAGAAAAAGAUAGUAGUGGGCUUAUGAAAAUCAUCUCAACAAAUAUGAGGUGACAAACAACCACUAAAAGAAACAAGGAUAGAUUGGGAGCAACAAGAUAUGAACAAUCUUACACCAAGAGGAUGCAUUGAGAACUUAGAUUAAAGACAAGCACCAUGAUAGCACAAUCCAUAGGAAAAGCUUUAGGUGAAAUCCAAACCAAGAUAGCUCAAUGAAGAAACCAUGAGUUAAGAAUAAUCUCAUGAUCAAAGGAUUGGUGGGUUUAAUUAUCUCAUUCUUGAAAGGAUAUCUCUUCGAGGCUCCUACACUAACAAGAAUGCUAUAAUACCACCUCAAAGGAUAAAGGAAGAACAAUUGCACAUAUAAAUGCAAGAGAAAGGAUACUUGAGGUUCCCCAACAAGAAUCUUGAAGAACAAUUGAGAAUGGAUUGAAACCUUGAUGAACCACCAUGAAGGACCUCCGUAUACAAAUGAAUGAUGCAAAGAUAACAAGGUAGAAAAGAAUAAGAUUAUGACCUUGCCAGGAUUUAGAUGUAGCCUCACAAAGAUACUUAAUAGAAGUUGAAACUCCGGAAAAUAAAGAUAAGCACACAAGAAAAGAAUUGAAACCAUGAGCCACUCCGGAAGAAGAAUUGAAAUCUCUUGGAAGAAGGAAGGACAAUAAUAAGAAUUAUGUUAUGCUCAUUCUUCAUCAAAUUAAAUUGAUGACAAGCAACGGAUCUAGCAUACAACUUAUUCUUCUAGAAAUGAAUCUUGGAGAGACAGAGAGGAAAAACACCACUUGAAGCAUAAUUGAAGGAAGCACCGGUAAGAAUUCACAAUUGAAUGGGAACACCAUGAAUUAAUGGAGAUACAUGCGAAUGAAGAGAUCAUGAGCCACCUGAGAGAAACUAGAACAAGGCACCGGAUAAUCGAGAGACGAACGAAGAGGCAACAAUUGAGAAGAUCUGCAGAUGAAAGCUGAAAGCUGAGAACGAAGAAUCUUCUGAAAUGAUGGCCUUCGGAGGAACGAGAAAUAAAAACAACUCAGAAAUGCACAGGAUAGCAAGAAAGGGAUUACUCAUGAUUGGAACAAUUAAGAAGAUGGCACCAAGCUGAAAUGAUGAAUCUCCAAGAGAAUGAACCAAGAUUGAGAGAAACACUCCUUCGGUCUUGAAAGAAGAGAAUGAUGAGAAGAACACCACCAAGAAUUAAUGGGACACUCCGAAAUAAGAAGAAUGCAAGGUUGAGCCAAAUCUGAGAAUUAAUUAAAUGGAUCUUGAAGAAAGAAUAUGACUGAUGAAAUUCAUACUUACGUCAUAGUUGAAAAGAUAUAGAGAUCUUCGGGAAAAAUUACAGAGCUAUAUAAGAUCCUGGGAAAAACCUGUGGGUUAUGGGCCCACUCAAAGAAACCACCGUUGAAAAGAUUGCUCAAAAUGAUAGAUAUUGCACCGAUAUAAAGAAAACUUGAUGAGGUUGAAAACCUCGAAAUAACUGAAGGGUUGAAAACCAGAACUUCUGAAAUAUCUUUAACAUUCCGGAUAGAAAGAGAGAGGAAUUAAAAAGCAAGAUAGGCUGAUAAGAAUCUCCAACAUAGGAAAGAAUUUACAAGGAUAAAAAGGAUAUGAUGAACACGGACAACUCAAUUAAAUUCAGCGGAAAAGACAACAAGAUUGAAUAAAGAUGAACACAAAGCUCCUGAGAAUCUUCACAAUGAACCACCGGAUAAGAGAGAAAAGAACCGACAGCGGAAGCACAAUGAAAAGAAAACUCUUGGAAGAAAAUUGAAUCACUGAUAAAAAGGGUGGGAGGGUGGAAAAAACAAAGACAACAUGGGACAGAUGAGAUGAACUCCGGAAUAAAUGAGAGAAUGAUCUUGCAAAAAUUGGAGAGAAUUGAAUCCACUUGCAGAGAAGCACACCGGUUAAAUGGAAUUGAUACGACGACUCCGGUUGACAAGAAUUGAUAAGACAAAUGAAAAUAUGAGAACACCUCUUAGGAAGGAUCUGAAAUCACCACUUGACGUCGAAGCAACUUGAAUUACCAUAUUAAAACAAAACAAAGGGUGAGGCUUAUGAAACAAGCCAGGACAAACUCAUGAGAAAGAUUUCGUCCGAUAUUUUCGUGGACAGGAAUCCACUAGAUGUCGAACCCCAACCUAACAUCAUGCAUUUGUUGGAAGAUUGUCCUAUAAGUAACUACUUGAAUUCCCACCUAAGAAUUCCCGAAAUAUCUAGUCAUGCAAUCUGGUACACGGAUACAAGGAGUAAUAUCACACAACUCCUAUACUAACCCAUCACUUGUAUCACAUCCGUCAACACACGACCAGAAUCUCGGACCUUCAUCUACAACAGACCCUCGUGAUCACAACGAUACAAAGUAUGGCAGUACUCCUGAACAAUCUGCACCAGUACUGGGGACAUCAGGGUUAUCUCGCCACUACUAGUAUUGAAGCAAUUACGAACAUCCUUCGUUCUGAGAUACUAAGAAAUCUGAAUGAUAACGAUGUGCUCGAGAAUCCCCUGGAGCUCAACUCCCCUGAAACUCAAAGCAGAUAGGAGGCACCAAGACAGAACUCUGUCACAUCGGCAUCAUAUAGAUUCCAAGAAUAUCCGCGUGAUCCUAAAUUUUUUUUUGAGUGAGAAGAGGAGUAGAGUUAAAUUAUUACGUCAAGAUUCCUCACCAGAGCAUGGAAGAGGAGAAAAAAGAAUCCUACUCUCCGAUAUAUAACUAGACUCAAAAUAGUUUUUCACUAGACUUGACUCGGCCAAGUUCGAUCAAUCAAGGGGGCUCCUAGGUCGGUACUGCUCUGAUACCAACUUGUCACGCCCAAGAUGCGACCCUAUCCUCGAUUUGGCACGAAGGCCCCGUCAGGGAUAGAAGCGCAUCUCGUCGUGUCGCAAGAAUGGAUAUCGUUACAAGUACAUGUACUGAAAAGAAGAGAUAUAUAUACAGAAUUGGCUUACACUCGCCUCAAGCUACAUCAGAGUCACAUCAGUACAUUACAUAAUCAUCAAGAGUAAGAGAAGGGUCCGACUAUGGACGAAAACAAACGAGAAAAGUAGAACGACGUCCAUCCUUGCUAUCCCAGGCUGCCGGCCUAGAACCCAUCCUAGAUCGAUGAAGAAGAAGAAGAAUCAACUCCAAAUGAACAAUCAACGCGCUCGCAUCAAGUAACAUUUACCUGUACCUGCAACUAGUGUUGUAGUAAUCUGUGAGCCAUAGGGGACUCAGCAAUCUCAUAUCGAAAGGGCCCAAGACUAGCAAAGCUUAAUGGGUGAGGUAUGGCUAAGUGGUGAGGUUGCAGCAGCGGCUAAUCAUAUAUUUGGUGGCUAAACCUACGAGUACAAGAAAUAAGAGGGGGAAGAUCUACGCAUAACGGACAUGAGCUACUGGUGAUCAAAUGAAUGAUCCUGAACACCUACCUACGUCAGAUAUAACCCCACCGUGUCCUCGAUCGGAGAAAGAACUCACGAAAGAGACAGGCACGGUUACGCACACAGUUGGCAAGUUUCUUUUAAGUUAACUUCAAGUUAUCUAGAACCAGUGUUAAACAAAGUUUCCACGUUGCCACAUAACCGCGGGCACGGCUUUCGAAAGAUUUAACCCUGCACGGGUGCUCCAACUAGUCCAUCACAAAUUGCCACGAGCCGCAUAGAAAUCCUCAAUCACGAAGCUCGCGAUCUCGUCGUGGAAAACCUCAACUCUGAGAUUACCCAAAGCAUCACCGGAAUCCUGAUGCACAAGAUAUCUCGUCAAAGGUAAAACUAAUCCAGCAAGGCCACCCGGCAUGUCGACGAUCCCGAUAGGAGCCGCGUAUCUCGUUCUCAGGACACGACAGAUGGAAAAGCCUACAGGUACCAAACCUCGAGUGGCCCCGUGGUGGCCCCGCAGUCUGUCCUUUUGGGACCAACACCAUCAGCAUUGGCCCCCUUGUUUAUGUAAAAUUACUCCUCGGGUUCAUGACGCCCUAUGCAUUUCAGUGUUAACAAAAUUAUUAUGUUGGGCAAAUGUAGAACCAAUGUCGGGCCUUGCCGGACCAGCUUUAAUCUAAAACGAAUUAUCAAGGGGGGCCCCAUAACAACCCCGAUCGUGUUAGGAGCGCUAGUUUAUGGAAUAUAACACCGGUAGCCGAAACUAAGGGGGCAAAGGUGGAAUAAAACACCAGGCUAGAAAGGCCGAGCCUUCCACCUUUUACCAAGUAUAUAGGUGCAUUAAAUUAAAUAGCAUUUAAAUAUGGUGAUAAGACAAGGUACCCAUGUUAUCACAUGGAAUCAACUACACCUGCAACUAGCAACGCUAACAACAUGGUUAAGCAAGCGGUAACAUAGCCAAUGAGUGGUUUGCUAGGUCGAACAGGUUGAAGGUUAUCAUGGCAUGAUUGAGAGGCUGAUAUUUAACAUGUGGUAGGCAACGAGACAUAAUAGAUAGAAGCGGUAAACUAGCAUGGCAAUGAUAGUAAUGGUAUCUGGGGAAAUGAUCAUCUUGCCUGAGAUCCCGCUUGGAAGAAGAAUGACUCCGUGAAGUCAGCGAACCAACGUAGUCGAACGGAUCCUCACUUUUCCUACACGCUUGCGGAACUCUAACGAGACGAAGCAAAUGGAAACAAGAAUCAACACACGAUAUUCACCACAGCAGACACGCUUGCAGAACUCUAACGAGACAUAGCAAAUGGAAACAAGAAUCAACACACGAUAUUCACCACAGCACAUGCACAACCGGAUGCACUACCCAAUAUGAUGCAUGGAUGCUCAACCCCUAUUGAUGCACUUAACCCAUCCUGCAUCGGUAAACAAGUGCCACCUCAUCACAAAGUGACACUUCUGCAGAACUGCUCAGAACUGGAAACUAGUGUCUCCAUCGGAUUCCUUGGGUUCUCCUACCCCAAAUCCAUAUAUUACACUGCUAUAUAUGCAUGAAGAAAAACACCACAAACAGCAA
RNAcentral lists this long non-coding RNA (7740 nucleotides) under Hordeum vulgare. RNAcentral describes it as "long non-coding RNA (HVUL_LNC012420)". Lineage: Eukaryota; Viridiplantae; Streptophyta; Magnoliopsida; Poales; Poaceae. The record is from RNAcentral.